GACGAACGCUGGCGGCGUGCUUAACACAUGCAAGUCGAACGGAAAGGCCCUGCUUUUGUGGGGUGCUCGAGUGGCGAACGGGUGAGUAACACGUGAGUAACCUGCCCUUGACUUUGGGAUAACUUCAGGAAACUGGGGCUAAUACCGGAUAGGAGCUCCUGCUGCAUGGUGGGGGUUGGAAAGUUUCGGCGGUUGGGGAUGGACUCGCGGCUUAUCAGCUUGUUGGUGGGGUAGUGGCUUACCAAGGCUUUGACGGGUAGCCGGCCUGAGAGGGUGACCGGCCACAUUGGGACUGAGAUACGGCCCAGACUCCAACGGGAGGCAGCGGUGGGGAAUAUUGCACAAUGGGCGGAAGCCUGAUGCAGCAACGCCGCGUGCGGGAUGACGGCCUUCGGGUUGUAAACCGCUUUCGCCUGUGACGAAGCGUGAGUGACGGUAAUGGGUAAAGAAGCACCGGCUAACUACGUG
This 468-nucleotide ribosomal RNA is filed under the name uncultured bacterium. RNAcentral's name for it is "partial 16S ribosomal RNA". It matches the Rfam family "Bacterial small subunit ribosomal RNA", at positions 28 to 507 of the family's 1533-position model. The record is from RNAcentral.